CUCAAGUGGAAUAUCAGGAUGAGGAUGGUGUUUUAUUUCACUCUGAUGCUCAGCGCAGGGCGAUGCUCGGAUCAGAUGAUAGAGACGAGGACUGUUGCUGUUGGAAGUGAUGUGAAACUGAGUUGUGCCCGAGAGUCCUCAGGGAGCGUGUUUUGGAUCAGACUUGUUCCUGGAAACAUUCCUGAAUACUUAAUGAAAUCAAAUAGCUUCAAGAAUAAUGGUCACAUUACAGCCACUCAACAGCCUGGAACAUUGGAUCUGCAUAUUGACAAAGCAAGUCUGAGUGAUGCUGCAGUUUACUACUGUUUUAAAACCUUCCAAAAAGGCUUAACUUUUUUGAAAGCAACAGACCUGAGGGUUGGAGUAGAACCUGAUUCCAGUGCAGUCACUCCAUCUGAUCCGGUCCGUCCAGGAGACGCAGUGACGGAGGAGAAGUGUCCGGUCCCCCGGGACUCUGAGGUGAAGACAUGUCCAGGAGAACACAGGGUGUGCUGUGCGAGAGCGACGCCACAUCGAUAUGAGCCACCGUUUAAUGGAAACAGUGUUGAAGAACACGAGGGGAACGCAGAGGAACCGCCAACAGAGGAACGUGUCUACAGCUUCUUCAUUAAGGUCGGCUCCUCGGAUGAUGGAUACCAGUACUGUGCUGUAAAAGCAUGUGAGGAGAGAUUUACUGGAAAUGAA
Pungitius pungitius (ninespine stickleback) is the source of this 684-nucleotide long non-coding RNA. RefSeq lists it as uncharacterized. The record is from RefSeq and is a predicted model, not a curated record. The transcript has 3 exons. NCBI's taxonomy places the organism in Eukaryota, Metazoa, Chordata, Actinopteri, Perciformes, Gasterosteidae.